Molecule: ribosomal RNA, 494 nt
Filed under: uncultured bacterium
Lineage: Bacteria
Description: partial 16S ribosomal RNA
Rfam family: Bacterial small subunit ribosomal RNA
Source: RNAcentral
GACGAACGCUGGCGGCGUGCUUAACACAUGCCAGUCGAACGGAAAGGCCUGCUUUCCCUUGUGGAUUGCGGGUACUCGAGUGGCGAACGGGUGAGUAACACGUGAGUGAUCUGCCCCCAACUUGGGUAUAAGCCUGGGAAACUGGGUCUAAUUCCCGAUAGGACUGCAGGGUGGUGCCUGUGGUGGAAAACGAUUUUCUAGUGGUUGGGGAUGAGCUCGCGGCCUAUCAGCUUGUUGGUGGGGUAAUGGCCUACCAAGGCGGCGACGGGUAGCCGGCCCGAGAGGGUGGACGGCCACAUUGGGACUGAGAUACGGCCCAGACUCCUACGGGAGGCAGCAGUGGGGAAGAUGGCACAAUGGGCGGAAGCCUGAUGCAGCGACGCCGCGGGGGGGAUGACGGCCUUCGGGUUGUAAACUCCUUUCGACCGCGAGGAAGCCACCUGGUUGGAAGGGUGGUGACGGUAGUGGUAGAAGAAGCACCGGCUAACUACGUG